Phalacrocorax carbo (great cormorant) is the source of this 382-nucleotide non-coding RNA. The record is from RefSeq and is a predicted model, not a curated record. Lineage: Eukaryota; Metazoa; Chordata; Aves; Suliformes; Phalacrocoracidae.
UGAUCGUGAGGUAUAACCUGGGACCAUUUCAAGUAAUUUGCUUUUGUUGGUGUUACUGCAGUUUCUGCAAAUGAAGAGAGCUUGCGGUAUGAAAUAAAAUGAGGUUUUGCAACCUGACUGCAGAAUUACAAGCAGAUGAGAAUCAGCAAUCUGUUCCCUGCUGCAUGGACUAGAACCUCCACCGGGAAUGCAACAAAAAACUCACUCUGGAGCAUGGCUUGAACAUACUGAUGAGAAAAGGAAAAGCCUAUAUUACGUUGAUUCAUUUGGAACUAGAAUUCUUCUGGCACACGUAUCGAAUAGCCAGCGUAGCUUUGCAGCUGCACUGUUGAACAUCAACCUGAAUGCUUGGUCUUGUUACGGAUUUAGCUAAUAAACUUUC